RNAcentral lists this ribosomal RNA (253 nucleotides) under uncultured bacterium. RNAcentral's name for it is "partial 16S ribosomal RNA". It matches the Rfam family "Bacterial small subunit ribosomal RNA", at positions 524 to 776 of the family's 1533-position model. The record is from RNAcentral.
UACAGAGGUCUCGAGCGUUAGGCGGAAUCACUGGGCUUAAAGCGUGUGUAGGUGGAUCGUUAAGUACCUUGUGAAAUCCCACGGCUUAACCGUGGAACUGCUUGGUAUACUGGCGGUCUUGAGCCAGCUAGGGGCUACCGGAACAAAUGGUGGAGCGGUGAAAUGCGUAGAUAUCAGGAGGAACACCAAUAGCGAAGGCAGCUCGCUGGGACGGUACUGACGCUAAGGCGCGAAAGCGUGGGGAGCAAACAGG